This is a long non-coding RNA of Rana temporaria (common frog), 529 nucleotides long. RefSeq lists it as uncharacterized. The record is from RefSeq and is a predicted model, not a curated record. The transcript has 2 exons. Lineage: Eukaryota; Metazoa; Chordata; Amphibia; Anura; Ranidae.
UGUAAUUGAUUUGUAUGAAGAGAGCGCUGCUUCCUAGGAGUGGUUUGAAGAAUGUACUCCCACCACUCCCUGUAAACCAAAACUAUUUGGCAUGGAGCCUCGCCAGUCCACCUGUACGAGGAAGCUGGGCUGUGCGGCUGGCACCCUCUACCACCUUUUUCAGCGCGCCUUCCCUGCGCCUCGCUCAACUGGUUCUUCCUUUUUUUUUUUUGUUCUUUUUAGUUUCUUUUUAACCCCUUUUUGGUUCAUCGACGCCUAGACGUCCAGACCAAAUGUCAGAUACAUCGACGAUAACUCAUUUGCCUAUCUAAAAAUAACCCGGUCCUACGAAACACGUAAAGAUGCAGAGAAUUUAUUGGGAUGAAUAAAUCACAGACGAGAGCCGCCACGCUCCCAGCAUUAAAUGAGAUACCGGCAAAUCUGAAAUAUGACACACCAUAUACCAGGGCGGUGUUUAUGUACUCCAUAAAAGACGAUUGUUUUAUCACAUGUUAAAGGAUAUUAAAUGAUAAAAUGUGAUGAAAUAUUA